Non-coding RNA from Phascolarctos cinereus (koala), 312 nucleotides. Lineage: Eukaryota; Metazoa; Chordata; Mammalia; Diprotodontia; Phascolarctidae. The record is from RefSeq and is a predicted model, not a curated record.
CAAGAAUUCUAAUGCCUGAGGAAGCUCCAUCCUAAGAACAUCUUUUGUGACCCAAUGGACAACUCUAGUAAGGAUAGCCUUCUUGAGAGAUGUCUUCGAUCUUUGCACUGCUAAGAAGAGGAGUCAUCCCUCAUAACAAAGAAAAAAAUGGGUGGGGUGGGGAGGAGUGCAAAGCAAUUCAACAAAACCAACCAAGACAUCAACCAACUGGAGAGUACCACACCUAAAAAACCCCACUGGUACAAAGAAAAAAAAAAGGACGUUCAGGACCUUUUCUUAACUCUUUUUCCAGGCCAAGUUUGGUCAUUGUCA